Molecule: ribosomal RNA, 492 nt
Filed under: uncultured bacterium
Lineage: Bacteria
Description: partial 16S ribosomal RNA
Rfam family: Bacterial small subunit ribosomal RNA
Source: RNAcentral
AGUGAACGCUGGCGGUAGGCCUAACACAUGCAAGUCGAACGGCAGCACAGUAAGAGCUUGCUCUUACGGGUGGCGAGUGGCGGACGGGUGAGGAAUACAUCGGAAUCUACUUUUUCGUGGGGGAUAACGUAGGGAAACUUACGCUAAUACCGCAUACGACCUACGGGUGAAAGCAGGGGAUCUUCGGACCUUGCGCGAUUGAAUGAGCCGAUGUCGGAUUAGCUAGUUGGCGGGGUAAAGGCCCACCAAGGCGACGAUCCGUAGCUGGUCUGAGAGGAUGAUCAGCCACACUGGAACUGAGACACGGUCCAGACUCCUACGGGAGGCAGCAGUGGGGAAUAUUGGACAAUGGGCGCAAGCCUGAUCCAGCCAUCCCGCGUGGGUGAAGAAGGCCUUCGGGUUGUAAAGCCCUUUUGUUGGGAAAGAACAGCAGCAGGUUAAUACCCCGCUGUUCUGACGGUACCCAAAGAAUAAGCACCGGCUAACUUCGUG